AAAGAAAAAAAGGUUUUUAAGAAAAGAUCUUUAAAGUCAGAUGUGAUGCCUAAAAUAAAAUUGGCCUCAUUUUGUCCGUCACCUUUAGAUAGAUUGAAUCUACUACUCAGUAAUACUAGUGUUAUUAAAAAUACCAAUUUCCCUAAUAACUGUCAAGAAGGAUUUUUUACCAAUGGUUACCAGCUUUCUUUUUUUUACUCUUGGCAAAGGAAAAUUAAGCGGCAGGAGGAAUCAUUUUGAUGAGACCUGAGGAGGACGUCCUUCCUGGAAGAUCUCCCCUGAAGAAGUGAAAGUAAGUCUAGCCACUGGCAGCUUGAAGCUCUUCCAAUCUGAAAGUUGAAUUUUGCAAGUUUGAUUUGUGGUUGGAUAGAAAGAGGUGGUGAGCUGGAGUUGACUCAGAUGGGCCCAGGAGAGCUGAUUUCUAGCAUCUCUUCCCAGCUCCCGGUGAUCUCAUGUUGUAGUUUGAAAUUGGCGGUGGAAAUGCCUACCCCAGGGAUCCUGGUGAAUACACAGAUCAUGGUCCUUCCUCUAGAGCUGAUUGCUAAACGUUUGCCAGUAUAGCUACUGGUAUUUAGUGAAUAUUCUAUUGCUUUGUUUGGAGUCUACAGUUUAACAUAGUCUCUGAUUUUUCUAUUUCCUAUCCUGUUAAUUACGUCUUCUAGAAAAGCCAAGUAUGGCAUUUACAUAACAAAUAGCUUCUACAGUAAUGACAGAUUCCUCAACAUUGCUGAAGGGAUUUUUAGCGAAAGAAAGGGAUGAUUAGGUGAGGAAAGAGAAAGAAAUAUAAACUGAAAAAAGGGGGGGGGUGUUGGGAAGAAAGCAAGCAAAUUUGAAUAGCGACUGAAGAUUUUGGGCUUAAGGCCUAAUUUCAAGCUCUGAUCUUAAAUUCUCUUCUGAGAAGUUCUUGCCAUUCCCAGGUUUCCUUGUUAAUUCUGAUAAAGGGCAGGAAUGGAAUUUAGGGAGUUCUGUAUUAGGUCUGUUAGGUAGCUCACACUUCACACAGUGCUUUGUUCAGACUUCACCUGGUUCAUUUGUUCAGGACCCUGCAGGCGCUAGCUUAUCUCUGUUUAAUUUGGGAAAACUGGCCACUGCCAAGUGAGUUUUUUUACUGUUACCAUCAUAAACAUUCUACAGUUGUCCAGAUGGGGCAACCUGGUCUGUUCUAUUGGUGACAUUCCUAUUCAAAUAUUCCCAAGGAUCAUUAAGAGAACUUGUGCUACGUGAAACAUAUUUUCUCUGAGUGGAGCCUGACUCUUAAUUUUUGAAGGCUUUGGAGACUUGGUUAGUAAAUUCUAGAUUGUAAAAGUAAGGAAGAAAAAAGAUGUCUUUUUACUCACCAUUGUAUCAUUUAUAUCGACUAACAUAGAGCCUGGGUAUAGGCAAUAAUGUCAGUUGAAAGAAUGAGUAUUUUUCAUUGUAUUCAAGGUGCUCUGUAUUUAAAGUUGGUGAUCAGCAUUUUCCCAUCUUACAUUUCAGAUCUUUAGGCUUUUCUAUAUUAAUCCUUAACUAAAGUCAGAUUUGUUCAGUGAAGUAAAUAGCUGAACAAAAUGUUUAAAUAAAUAGUGAGUUUUUUUUUUUUUUUUCCAAGAUGGAAUUCCCAGGUCAAAGUGGUAAAAUUCCUUUGGUCUUAUAGAUCUCCUGAGUCUCUAUGUGAAGUUAUAAUAGCCUAUUGUUUUUUUGUUAAUACUGGCCUAUCUUGUUUAUAAAAGUCACAUGUGUUUGUUAAAGCGAAUUAGCAUUAAAUAAUGCUGUGUUCAGACUGUCAUCAUAUAAUGUGAAGUAUCUGAGAAAUCCUGAAGGGUUAUCAAAACCAAACCUGAGAAUUACUGAUGUAAACUCCGUCACUUUAUUCACUGAAUACCCGCAUUAUUACCAGCUUACAUGGUUUAAGUGUUAGGUCUUGAUAUCUGCUCGUAUUGAUGAACUAAUAUUAUACUUACACACUGCUUUAUAGGUAGGUCUUUUUCUCUAUCAUUAAUCACCCAAAUCCUUAAUUUUGUUACAGAUCUAAAAACAGAAUCACCAAGCAGUGAACUUGAACUGCAGCUGUGGCCUGGACUCGGCAUUCAAAGAUGACAAACUGACCUCUGGUUGUAGAGAUGUCUUGAAGAUGCUGAAGAUCAAUCACAGAAUUCACAGGAUGGAAGAAACUGUUUUACCGUAUGCAGUGAUCUGAGAUGCCAGUCACGUUUGUGGCCCUAUUCACAAAUCAGGGUGAUAAUUGUAACAGUGGUCCAUAGCAGCUGAGGAAUAUUUUGCAAUAUUAAACAAUUCAUAUUACUGUUAAAGUUUACAUACGAAGGUCCAGACAUAUGUGUUGACACUGGCAAUGGAUGAGCCUUGAACCCUUGAAUUGUCCUUACUGGCAAUAUGACACAAAUUAUGAAAAAAGCUUAUUUAUAACAACAUAACUAAUGCUUUUGAUGAAAUUAAGGGUCCAACCUUCUCCGACCUGUCGUUGAAGAUCAGGCUUGGAGAGCAAGGGUAGAGGUAGAGUUGGAAAGUGGUAACAUGCGCCAGGAGAUAUUUCAAAGAUACUACUCCUUUAACAAUAAUAAUCAAUUUUAUGGGUAGAGCAUAAUUUAACAAGUUUCCUAUUGAUAGUCUCCCCCCAUUCUCAUUAUAAAAACACCACAUUAUAAAUAACAACAUUUGUGGCUAAAUGUCAGCCCACUUUCAUUUCUAAGAAUUAGCCUGAAGAAGUAACAGUUUGGGACACAAUGAUGUUUGAACAUGUCGGCUAGAUUUCCAACUCUAGACCUAAUGCUAUGGCAAACAAAUAUGUCAAAGCAUAAAAUCCUCCAAAAGAGCUUUAGUAUUUAUUAAUUAGGGUUUGAUUUGGAAUGUUGGGGUCAGUUGAUUCCAAAUACUCCUUUCAUUUAUCUCAAGCUUGGGUAUUCCUCAAAAUGCAAGCCCCUCUCUUCUGCACCCUCUUGCCCAUUUCAUUCAGAGCUUCAUAUGGUGCUUUUCAGAGAAUAUAUAUAUUCAGCCAAUCCUCAGUCAAGGAUUCCACAUUUAUGAAUUCACCUACUCACCAAAAUAUAUUUGUAACCCCAGAGUGCUUUCAUGGUCAUUCAUGGCAUGUGCAGAGUGGUAAAAAAAUUUCAAUCACAUGAUGAGUAUGUUCCCAGUUGGGGUUGAAAAAGGCAGCUAUUCUGACUUCUUGUGUUAGUUCUUUUGCUGUAAACAAGUGUCCUUUUUGUAUUCUGUUUUCUAUUUAGUGCUAUAUUUUUUACAUUUUUGUUUUUUUGUUGGUGAUUUCACUGUUUAAAAUAGUCCCUCAGGUGUAGUGCUGCAGUGCUGUCUAGUAUUGAGUGCAAGAAGGCUGUGUGUACCUUACAGAGAAAAUGUGUUAGAUAAGCUUCAUUCAGGUGUGAGUUAUACUGCUGUUACAGUAUACUGAUAUAUUAAAUGAAUUAUCUUUAAACAAAAAUGCUCAAAACAAGGUUAUGUAUUGCUUGGUUGAUAAAAAUGUGACUAUUUUCCCUGGAAGCAGUGUUUCAGCAUUCACUAAUUCAGUGUUCAUGGCAACUUUAUAGAACAUGACUACCAUACAUAACAAGAAUUGGCUCACACACUCUCUCUCUUUAGUAUACCAUUGCCAUUUCAGACCACUUCUUUUCCAACGUUGUGGAAUUCAGUCCAUUUUAUGCCUCGUUCACUUAGCUGUCAUUUUCUGAUCUAAUUCAUUAUCUUUUCUCUCACCUCUACGGUCAACAAAGAUUAAUGUAGUUAAAUUUUUUUAUCUUUAAUGCCUUUUGCCUCUUAUUUAAGAAAUUCUUCCAUAUCCUGAGGUCAUAAAGGUAUUCUCCAGUAUAAUCUUUUAAAAGAUUUUCAGUUUUGACUUUCACAUUUAACUUUAUAAUCUACUUGGAAUUAAUAUUUUACAGUAUAAAAUAGAAGUACGAUUUGUUCUCACAGAUGUUUGAAUGUCCCAGAACCAUUUAUUGAAAGGACAGUCUUUCCCCCACUAGUACUUUGCAGUACCAUCUUUGUCAUUUAUCAGCAGUUUAUAUAUAGGUCUAUUUCAGUCUAUUUUGUUCUGUUUGUCUUUUGACCACUGUUGUGUCAAUAUCACACUAUAUUAAAUACUGUUUUUUAUUAGUCUUGUCACAGAAUAAUUCUUGCUUAUUCUUGCUUCUUCAAGAGUAGCAUGCCUAUUCUUGAUCAUUUGUGUUUCCUUAUCAAUUUUAGUAUCAGCUUCUCAAAUCCUACAAAUAAACUGCUAGUGAUUUUUAUUGGGAUUACACUGAUUUUGUAAUUCAUUUUGGAAGAGUUUAAAUAUUUCCAAUGUAGAGAUCUUCCAAAUUGCAUAGAUAUGGCAUAUCUCUCUAUGU
This is a long non-coding RNA of Manis pentadactyla (Chinese pangolin), 4337 nucleotides long. RefSeq lists it as uncharacterized. The transcript has 5 exons. The record is from RefSeq and is a predicted model, not a curated record. Lineage: Eukaryota; Metazoa; Chordata; Mammalia; Pholidota; Manidae.